UUAAUACCCAGGCUACUCGUGAGUCACGAUCAUCUCAUUGAAAUCAGCACCGUUUCAAAGUACGCAGAAAUCGUGAAAUACCUACGACAACAUUAUGAGCGACGAUCUAAAAAACAUGGCACUCGCUACAAAUUUAGAAGCAUUACGCUGUGCAAAUCAUGAUUUUUCGUUUUCUUUGUACAGGGAAGUGGCAAAAACCGAAACAGGAAAUAUAUUUUAUUCACCAUUCAGUAUCCAUGUAAUUAUGUUUAUGGCUAGCACUGGAGCAGCUUCGAAAACAUUUGAUGAAAUGGUUGCUACUAUACACCUAAAUGAAACUACUCAUUCACUGGAAGCAUAUGAGAAAUUAUUGGAAGACUUAACAAGUGGAAAUGAUAAUCUGAAACUGGCAACUGGAAUGUUUGUUGAUACAGCUUUCAAUGUCAAAGAUAGUUUUGUAGAAAACUCCAAGAAAUAUUUAAAAUCGUCUAUAGAAAAAUUGAAUUUCAAGAAUGACCCAGAACAGCAACGCCAGUAUUUAAAUAAUUGGGUUUUAAACGAAACCAAUAACAAAAUCAAAGAUAUAUUCCCUAAAGACUCUAUUAAUAAUGAUACUGCCUUAGUAUUGGCAAAUGCUGUGCAUUUUAAAAGUGCAUGGGCACAUCAAUUUAAGCAUGUAUACGAUGGCUCUUUUUAUGUAACUCCAAGCGACAAAGUACCAGUCAAAAUGAUGUAUCUCGAACGAGAUUUUCAGUACUAUCAUGAUAGUGUUCUAAAUUUCACUGCAAUUGAAAUACCCUAUAAAAACUAUGCUUUUAAAAUGAUCAUUUUAUUACCCGAUGCUAAAGAUGGUUUGAAUAAUCUGGAGAAUGAUAUUUCAAAAUUUAAAUUACAUGAUAUUUCAAAGAAAAUGACCCAGCAUUACCUUAGUGUAAGAUUACCUCGUUUCAAAAUAGAGCAGUCACUGCAAUUAGAUGAAACAUUAUCCAAUCUUGGAUGUCCAACAAUGUUUUCACAAGCGGCAAACUUUUCUAAUAUUGUUGAAGAUGGUAAACUAAAUGUGAGUAAAGUCUUGCAUAAGGCAUACAUUAAUGUAGAUGAAUUCGGAACUGAAGCUGCAGCAGUUACAAGUUAAUUAAACACGAACGACGUGAUAAUAUAGCCUGUAAAGCCGUGAAUUUGAAACAAACACAUUAUUUUGCAUCUUGCACUUUGCAGUAUUACGUCUUGUAAGUUGCGACACGAACGCAACGAACGAAUUAUUCGUAGUUACGUGUGAAAUUAAUCGCAA
Molecule: unclassified non-coding RNA, 1270 nt
Filed under: Acyrthosiphon pisum (pea aphid)
Lineage: Eukaryota; Metazoa; Arthropoda; Insecta; Hemiptera; Aphididae
Description: serpin B4, transcript variant X5
Source: RNAcentral